This is a non-coding RNA of Schistosoma curassoni, 45 nucleotides long. NCBI's taxonomy places the organism in Eukaryota, Metazoa, Platyhelminthes, Trematoda, Strigeidida, Schistosomatidae. The record is from Rfam.
AUCCAGUUGACGAGUCUCAGAUGGGACGAAACGCGCGUCCUGGAU